GGGUGGCGGGGAACGGGCCGGCGGCGAAGCGCAGGGGCGGCCGGCGGUGCGGAGUGGUGCCGUCCAGUGAAGUGCACGCACACGGGAGCAAGAAAGCUGACAUGGCGGGGGGGAAAGAGAAUAGGGGCUCCCCCUACGGACCCCUGGGAUUGGGGGCUUGGGGUGUUCUUUUAGGGGCGGGAUGUACGUAGGGGCUCUGUUGUAGAUGUUUUUUUUUUUCCUCUGGUCCCUAAAGGGAGAUAGGACCCUGUUUAGGGGUCCUGCUGAAGAUGCUCUAAUACUGCUAUCUACACAUGGUAUGUGUCCUCACAAAAUUGCCAA
RNAcentral lists this long non-coding RNA (321 nucleotides) under Brachypodium distachyon (stiff brome). RNAcentral's name for it is "long non-coding RNA (BDIS_LNC002415)". Lineage: Eukaryota; Viridiplantae; Streptophyta; Magnoliopsida; Poales; Poaceae. The record is from RNAcentral.